RNAcentral lists this small nuclear RNA (118 nucleotides) under Cephalotus follicularis. Its description in RNAcentral is "U5 spliceosomal RNA". It matches the Rfam family "U5 spliceosomal RNA". Rfam says of the family: U5 RNA is a component of both types of known spliceosome. The precise function of this molecule is unknown, though it is known that the 5' loop is required for splice site selection and p220 binding, and that both the 3' stem-loop and the Sm site are important for Sm protein binding and cap methylation. The record is from Rfam by way of RNAcentral. Lineage: Eukaryota; Viridiplantae; Streptophyta; Magnoliopsida; Oxalidales; Cephalotaceae.
AGCCGAGCUAUGAACACAAAGCGAACUAUUCUUUCGCCUUUUACUAAAGAAUACCGUGUGUUCGUAGCUUAAAUCGGCAUACGCCAAUUUUUGGGGAGUCUUCUCCACUGGAGAGGAC